GACGAACGCUGGCGGCGUGCUUAACACAUGCAAGUCGAACGGUGAAGCGCCUUCCUUUUUGGUGGGUGUGGAUGAGUGGCGAACGGGUGAGUAACACGUGAGUAACCUGCCCCCUUCUUCUGGAUAACCGCAUGAAAGUGUGGCUAAUACGGGAUAUUCUGGGUCUGUCGCAUGAUGGGUCUGGGAAAGAUAUUGUUUCGGUGGGGGAUGGGCUCGCGGCCUAUCAGCUUGUUGGUGGGGUGAUGGCCUACCAAGGCGGUGACGGGUAGCCGGCCUGAGAGGGUGGACGGUCACACUGGGACUGAGACACGGACCAGACUCCAACGGGAGGCAGCAGUGGGGAAUAUUGCACAAUGGGCGCAAGGCUGAUGCAGCGACGCCGCGUGAGGGAUGGAGGCCUUCGGGUUGUGAACCUCUUUCGCCAGUGAAGCAGGCCUGCCUCGUUUGUGGGUGGGUUGACGGUAGCUGGAGAAGAAGCGCCGGCUAACUACGUG
RNAcentral lists this ribosomal RNA (494 nucleotides) under uncultured bacterium. Its description in RNAcentral is "partial 16S ribosomal RNA". It matches the Rfam family "Bacterial small subunit ribosomal RNA", at positions 28 to 507 of the family's 1533-position model. The record is from RNAcentral.